RNAcentral lists this ribosomal RNA (262 nucleotides) under uncultured bacterium. RNAcentral's name for it is "partial 16S ribosomal RNA". It matches the Rfam family "Bacterial small subunit ribosomal RNA", at positions 516 to 776 of the family's 1533-position model. The record is from RNAcentral.
CGCGGUAAUACGAAGGGUGCAAGCGUUACUCGGAAUUACUGGGCGUAAAGCGUGCGUAGGUGGUUUGUUAAGUCUGAUGGUGAAAGGCCGGGGCUCAACCCCGAGCAAGCCGGGGAUACUGGGGGGCUGGAGACAGGCAGAGGCCAGCGGAAUUCCGGGUGUAGCGGUGGAAUGCGUAGAGAUCCGGAAGAACACCGGAGGCGAAGGCGGCUGGCUGGGCCUGAUCUGACGCUGAGGUGCGAAAGCGUGGGGAGCGAACAGG